UAGGGAAUAUUGCUCAAUGGGGGAAACCCUGAAGCAGCAACGCCGCGUGGAGGAUGAAGGUUUUCGGAUUGUAAACUCCUUUUGUUAGAGAAGAUAAUGACGGUAUCUAACGAAUAAGCACCGGCUAACUCCGUGCC
RNAcentral lists this ribosomal RNA (137 nucleotides) under uncultured bacterium. Its description in RNAcentral is "partial 16S ribosomal RNA". It matches the Rfam family "Bacterial small subunit ribosomal RNA", at positions 355 to 509 of the family's 1533-position model. The record is from RNAcentral.